RNAcentral lists this long non-coding RNA (4967 nucleotides) under Capsicum annuum. Its description in RNAcentral is "long non-coding RNA (CANN_LNC014271)". Lineage: Eukaryota; Viridiplantae; Streptophyta; Magnoliopsida; Solanales; Solanaceae. The record is from RNAcentral.
AAAAAAUCAACAAUAGUGACAUUAACAACAAUAGCUUAUCACGGUCCUUUCCCUCAAGAACCCUAACCCCAAAUCUAUUUCCCUUCAAUCUUACUUAUCUCUUUAUCCCACUACAAUCCUCACAUGCCAGUAUGAGGAUUGUAUAUUGUAGUUUCUAAAAAAAGUGACGCAUUGCUCUCUUACUUAUUCAUUCAAAUUGCCAUAUUCAAAUUUUAAAUUCUAAAAUUUAUGCAAAUUUCUAGCUAUAUCCUUAUCCAGUACGAAUCUGCUACAACCAUGGUCUGAUUCAAUCAUUCUCUCACAGUCAUAGGAUUUCAGAUGAUGAAUUUAUCCUACAUAAAAAAAUUCUCAAGAAUUUAUGGAUUUUGGGUUCUAUAUAAAUCCUUCUUGCUCCACUAUUUCUAGGAUAGUUUUGGAACCCAAAAAAGAGCAAAAAUAUUUAAACGUUUGUCUCUAGCCUGGAGUUGUGAGAAUUUUGACUCCUCUUUUUAAUUUUCUUUCCUGUUCUCAUGUUAAGGACAAAAGAGGUGGAAGUUGAUCUUUCAACUCGUUGUCCUAAGUUCGUUGCUCAAGAAAAGGUAAACUUUCCUUCCCUUUUGUAUUUUUAUUGCUACGGGUGGCUUUUGAUAUAUUUUAAUAUCAGAAUAAAAUUUAGGGUGAUUAUUUGUGUUUAGAUGUAGGUUUUAUUUUCCAUUUGUUGCUUCUAUUUUAGUAAAUAAAUUUUGAAGUUAUGUGAUAAACCAUUUAGUUUACCUUAAAGAGAUAUUAUGGAGAAACUAAUAUGAUAUUUUGUUGGAUGCUUUCUGUUCUUGUUACUCUUGUGAAUUUUAUUUUAAUCGUGUUCUAGUUCUUAUAUCACACUAUUUUGUUAAAUAUAAAUUUAUCCUCGUUUAAGUAUCAUUCUCUUAUUUUAGGCCAAAUUGUUAAAUUUUUUUAAGGCUAGCACCUACAAUUUGUUUGAUGUAGCGACUAAUUUAAUCCUAUCUUUAGAUUAGUUUAAAAACGGCAUCUUGAUUGGAGGAAUAAUCAAUAUGUUCUCUUAUCAUUGAUGUUCUGUCAAUUUACACUCGGCCAAAGCCAAAUGAUUUAAGAUCAAUGAUGUAUUAAAGAUGUAUGUGACUUUCUUAUUUUUGUGCAAGUUAGAAGUUUAGUUUUAGUUCAUUCUCUCAUUUUGAUUUCCACCUCUAUACUUGGAGCUCAUUAAUCAUUAUGAGUAGUAGUUUUUUUAUUUGAGCCUUCAACUCAACGAAUUUGUAGUCUAUGUUUGGUUGGGUGAUUCAUGUGAAUUAGUUGUGACGUUUAUCUAGUUCCUUGACAGUUAUUGGUAGUAUAGAAUAGUAUAAUUCCUCUUGCUUAUUUAAGUUCAAAAAGGUGUAUCUUGAAAUAAAUUUAUUGCUCACACUUUGUGUCACAACCUGAACUAAGGCCUGACCAUGAUGGGUAUCUCAAGUCCAACAAGGAUCGGAGACUACCCCCUGCACCUAACCAAAUAGAACACAAUACCCCCAAAACCAAAUGAAUUUCAAACAUAUAACAAGAUAGAAUAAGAUAAGCUCAAAGAAUUUAAGUUAUGUCUAUAAUCCAAUAUUCGAUAACCAACCAAAACGACCAACUAAUAUCACCCAAGUCCACAGUAAUCCACAAAGUAUUCUUAAAAAAACUAAAAUCAAUAAAGUGUUGGGAUAUUCCCUUGACCCUAACAAUGACAACAUUAAUGAUAAUGUAAACUCUUAGAUCUAAUCUAAGAAAAGAAACUGAUGAAAUGUCCAAGUCUUCUAGAGAAUGAAAGCUCGCCACUUCAACACCAACGACCGAUGAACUGAUCCGAUUCACCUAACACUAUGCAUAAAAAAGUAGAGGUAUCCCUAAUUCCAACAUCACGUGGGAUACAUCAUCCGAAGAUGAUUAAUGGGUUGAGCACUAGCAUGUAACUCAAGGAUAGGGAUAAAAUAAAUCCAAGUCAAAUCUAUUCAAAACCCAUGUGAACACCAUCAUAUACAUACAUAAAUAAUAUGUAGGGNNNNNNNNNNNNNNNNNNNNNNNNNNNNNNUGGAUUAUGUAGCUCAACGAUCAUAAUAUAAGAAAAUACCCACGGGUUAUAUGGGUCCAGCUCUUCCCUAACUGGAAGGCCCAGUGUAUGUAGGCAGACGAACUAGAUGAUAUACAUGUACACCAUGGGGGACUCAAACCUCCCAGCAUAUCAAGGAGACUUAAGCACCCAAUCAUGUGAUAUAAUAUGGGGGACUCGGAACCUCCCAAUCAAAUAAUAAUAAUAAAGAGGACUUGAACCACCUGGUCAGUUAAAUCCCUACGUCGGCAAUCAGAGUUUGCAAUAUUGGUCUCUUGGGACCUCUACUUUCACGACUCAGCUACACAACCCUCAUUAAAGCCCAAGUAAAUCAUUUAUCAUGCAUUCCCAUUCAUUGAACCAUAAUACACAUUUAGGCAUACACUAUUGGUAUCAUCAUACCAACUACACUUGUAAGGUAAUAUCUACAUACCAAACCAAUUAUAAUUACUUGGGGAAUUCAUAACCCCCUUGGUUCAAUUAUACAUUAUCUUGGGGAAUUACACAAUCUCAUACGGUUCAAUUCAAAAUAAUUAUACUUUAUUCACUUUUCACAUUAUGCAAUAGAUAAGUAGUAGUUAUAUGUGCAUAUUUUUGGUAUUCAAGACCAAUUUUCAUAAUAUAGAAUUGAGGUCAUUACCAAUUUAAUUGUCAAUAUUCACAAAAUUUGGAGAGUUCACAAUCCCCUAGUUUAUUCACCAGACCCAUGCAUCAAACUAAUUUCAAAACAACCAUUUAAAAUAUAACCAAUGCAUAUACAAACAUGAAACAUCACAUAGACAACAAUCAUUCAAAACUCUCAGCCCAUAUUCAAAACCAACAUAAAUAAAAUAUGAAUAAUACUUUAAAUCACAUGAUUUUAAAAAAGUAACAAUUUGGGAAGAGUAACAUGCCUGAAGGGUUCUCAAUUAUGGAGAAGAAACCUUGAAUUGACCCCUUGAUGCUCAACCUUGAGGAAACCCUAGCUUGUUUGCUUAAAGGAACUUAACAGAGUAAAGAGAGUUCUUGAUUUUUUAAAGUGUUAAAAUAAUACCCUAAAGGAGCCUUAUAGAUGUGGGGUAUAUGUGGCUAAAGAGAAAAAUGUCCAAACUACCCUCAACUUAAAACUGACAAAUUGUCGUCAGUGAUUACGGGUCACACGACGACUCGUAACGACACGUUACAACUCAUUACCACUAGUUGUAGCCAAGAUAGUGUCAUCAGGCACACAUAAUGUUUACCCCACAACUUGCAUUAUAUGACUCAUUAGGGGACCCAAUGACCCAUUGGGUCCUAUUCGUCACCAGGACACCAACAUUUGGAACAUACACUAGCUUGACUAUGGUUAGAACAUCACGACUCGUAAUGAAUUCAUACGAAUCAUUGUGAGUCACUUGUACUCAGAGUAGAAAAAUUAACCAUACACAUUGGUUAGCCUAUGAUUUGGAUCCUUACGACUCGUUAAGACUACCUAUGACUCGUAAGGGGAAUCGUAGUCAGGACAAUAAGGAUAAAAUUUCAGAAAUUUUCAAGGGCUAAAAAUCUGUGGUGUUACACAUUGUUGAGUUCUUGUCCUAAUUUGAUCCAAAAUAGAGUCAUAAUUUCUAUAGUUUCUUAAAAUGAUUUGAGAUGAUCACUCUAUUUUAUAUCUUUGAGAUGCUUAGUUGUUCACUUUGAACAAUAGAGAUUUAAAUAAAGAAAUUUAACUACUGUUUUAGGUUUAGCUUAAAGAAAUUUAUUUGGAUAUUAGUUGAAGUAACUAGUCACUCUUGGUUCCCUUUCGAGAUUAACUCGUCUAAAAAGCAAUAAACAUAUUAGUUUUGUUUUGACAAAAUGUCAUAGACUUUGGAAAGUCUCUUUUGAGUAAUUGGUCAUAAUUAUUUCUAUAAUGUUUGGUGUAGGAUAAAUCUAAGGGUUUUUAAUUUGAUCAUAAUAGAAUAUUUAUUAGCUGGAAUUACUAGAUAUCUUAUUUUGUUUAAGCCUUAGACUUUCUGAUGCUUUAUGAUCUUUUUACCUAGCAAUUUUGUAAAGGCAGUGUAGUUGCUUGUAAACUAAGUGUAGAAUUUUAGUGUGUUGUAUGGGAUGGAUAUCUAUAUUUCCAUUAAUAUAUUCAGGAAUAUAAUUUUUCAUCUUACUUGAUUAGUUGUUUAACAUUUUAUUAGGAGACCGACUGCAUAGUUACUAAUUCUUAUCUUCUUUUUUUCUCGCAUAUGAUUCUGGACGAGUCCAUUUGAACUCCCAUUUUUCCUGAAUUCUCUCAUCUCCGAGUCAAACCUCAUCCAAGUGAACAAAAAGAGGCAAGUACAUUGCCGAAAGCCUGAAAAAUAAGUAGCAACAGAGCAAGAAAAUAGGCUUAUACAGCUUACAAAAUUGAUACAAUGCUGUAGCAGGACACGAAGAGCAGAAAUGGGAGUUGAAGCCCAAUUAUUUUACUGUUUUGUUUAUUUGAUCACUCUUUGAUAUUUGUUUCUAACACUUUAGCAUGAACUUAGAUGAAUCCCUACAGUGGUUUAACUCAUUUUCAAGUUUUACUUUAGAAGUAUGGUUUUCAUUACUCACUAUUUUGUGUGAUUCUGAAUAUUCAAUCUUAGGCAAACCUAAGCUUGGAAUAAAUUUAGGAUUCGCUUAUAUCCUUUUGUAGCUGUUAAUAGCUUAAAAUUCAUGCUUAAAAAGUUUUAUUAUAAUUUAACUCAAAGUCUUUACCCGAAUAUAAAAUAGUUAAAUUAGAAUUUUUUUGAAAUUUUGAUAUGUUAUUUGUUUCAUUAUUUAGAUUAAGUUAGAAUGUUUAAGUUCCAAAUAUAUUUUAUUCAUUUUAAACAAGAUUAUCCAAAUCAACUCAAAUAUUUUCAAAAUUAGCUAAAUAAGUUGAUUCUCUUGAAAACCACACUUUGUGAAUUUUUGAAAGUACCUAACACUUUUU